CCUACGGGAGGCAGCAGUGGGGAAUAUUGCACAAUGGGGGAAACCCUGAUGCAGCGACGCCGCGUGAGUGAAGAAGCGUUUCGGCGCGUAAAGCUCUGUCAGCGGGGAAGAAACACGGUUCGCGAGAGCCGCGGACGGUACCCGACCAAGAAGCCCCGGCUAACUACGUGCCAGCAGCCGCGGUAAUACGUAGGGGGCAAGCGUUAUCCGGAUUCACUGGGUGUAAAGGGAGCGUAGACGGCGAGACAAGUCUGGAGUGAAAGGCCGGGGGGCAACCCCGGGACUGCUCUGGAAACUGCCGGGCGGGAGUAGAAGAGAAGUAGGUGGAAUGCCUGGGGUAGCGGUGAAAUGCGUAGAUAUUAGGAAGAACACC
This 373-nucleotide ribosomal RNA is filed under the name uncultured bacterium. RNAcentral describes it as "partial 16S ribosomal RNA". It matches the Rfam family "Bacterial small subunit ribosomal RNA", at positions 338 to 710 of the family's 1533-position model. The record is from RNAcentral.